Molecule: ribosomal RNA, 510 nt
Filed under: uncultured bacterium
Lineage: Bacteria
Description: partial 16S ribosomal RNA
Rfam family: Bacterial small subunit ribosomal RNA
Source: RNAcentral
GACAAACGCUGGCGGCAUGCCUAACACAUGCAAGUCGAACGGACAGAACAGGGAAGCUUUUCGGAGUGGAACUGGAAAGUUAGUGGCGGAUGGGUGGGUAACGCGUGGACAACCUACCUUGUAAAGGGGAAUAACCUCGAGAAAUCGAAGCUAAUACCCCAUAAUAACCUUGCUUCGCAUGAAGUAAGGAGGAAAGGCGGCCUUAGCGCUGUCGAUACAAGAUGGGUCCGCGUCUGAUUAGCUAGUUGGUGAGGUAAAGGCUCACCAAGGCGACGAUCAGUAGCCGGCCUGAGAGGGUGAACGGCCACAUUGGGACUGAGACACGGCCCAAACUCCUACGGGAGGCAGCAGUGGGGAAUCUUCCGCAAUGGGCGAAAGCCUGACGGAGCAAUGCCGCGUGAGUGAAGAAGGCCUUCGGGUUGUAAAACUCUGUCCUUAUCGAAGAGAGAGUGUUGUAGUAACGGACAAUACUAGGACGGUAGAUGAGGAGGAAGCCCCGGCUAACUAUGU